UAUACUGGAAAACACACAACACACACACAUAUGCGUGUGUUGGGUCGCCAGGAACAAGAAGGAGAAGAGAACUCCCCUCAUCUUCACAAAGUUAGCAAAUUGAAGCCCUAAUUAUGGCUAUAACUCUUGCAUGUUAAUGGAUUCUUGAUCAUCUAGCCCUAACAAAGCUCAAGGAAUUAAGGAGGAAAGCUCAAGCCGUUCCGAGUCUCAAACGAAGAACGAUAAAGGUAAAACGACUUGCUAAUUGGCGUCACCCGGAUCGAACACACUCAUGAUGCACGCUUCCGUGAAGAAACUAGUUUUUAGUCAAAACUUUUGUUAAAUGCUCUCCUUUUGUUGUAAACGGGUCUUUUGUAAGUUUUAUGAUCCGAAAGUACUAGAUGUUGAACUUGUAGUUAAAAGAUUAUGUUAGUUGUUUAUAUAAAGUUUGGGUUGAAAACGGUUGUGGACGUUAUGUGUUCGUUACCAAGUUAAAUGCAGAAUUUUGUUUUGUAAAUUA
Helianthus annuus (common sunflower) is the source of this 499-nucleotide long non-coding RNA. RefSeq lists it as uncharacterized. The record is from RefSeq and is a predicted model, not a curated record. NCBI's taxonomy places the organism in Eukaryota, Viridiplantae, Streptophyta, Magnoliopsida, Asterales, Asteraceae. The transcript is spliced from 3 exons.